AUGGGAACGCGAAGAACCUUACCUAGACUUGACAUCUUCUGCAUUAAUCGUAAUGGAUGAAAUCCCUUCGGGGACAGAAUGACAGGUGGUGCAUGAUUGUCGUCAGCUCGUGUCGUGAGACGUUGGGUUAAGUACCCGCAACGAGCGCAACCCUUACUUACUAGUUGCUACCAUUAAGUUUAGAGCACUCUAGUGAGACUGCCCGGGGUUAACCCGGGGUAGGGAAGGGCGGGGGAGUGACGUCAAAUACAUCAUGCCCCUUACUGUCUAGGGCAACACACGUGCUACAAUGGUGAGUACAGAUAGAUGCGAUACCGCAAGGUGGAGCCAAACUACUAAAACUCAUCCCAGUUCGGAUUGUAGGCUGCAACUCGCCUACAUGAAGUUGGAGUUGCUAGUAAUCGCGAAUCAGAAUGUCGCGGUGAAUACGUUCCCGGGUCUUGUACACACCG
This 452-nucleotide ribosomal RNA is filed under the name uncultured bacterium. Its description in RNAcentral is "bacterial SSU rRNA". It matches the Rfam family "Bacterial small subunit ribosomal RNA", at positions 954 to 1392 of the family's 1533-position model. The record is from RNAcentral.